GGUUAAGCGACUAAGCGUACACGGUGGAUGCCCUGGCAGUCAGAGGCGAUGAAGGACGUGCUAAUCUGCGAAAAGCGUCGGUAAGGUGAUAUGAACCGUUAUAACCGGCGAUGUCCGAAUGGGGAAACCCAGUGCAAUUCGUUGCACUAUCGUUAACUGAAUACAUAGGUUAACGAGGCGAACCGGGGGAACUGAAACAUCUAAGUACCCCGAGGAAAAGAAAUCAACCGAGAUUCCCCCAGUAGCGGCGAGCGAACGGGGAGCAGCCCAGAGUCUGAAUCAGCUUGUGUGUUAGUGGAACGGUCUGGAAAGUCCGACGGUACAGGGUGAUAGUCCCGUACACCAAAAUGCACAGGCUGUGAACUCGAAGAGUAGGGCGGGACACGUGGUAUCCUGUCUGAAUAUGGGGGGACCAUCCUCCAAGGCUAAAUACUCCUGACUGACCGAUAGUGAACCAGUACCGUGAGGGAAAGGCGAAAAGAACCCCGGCGAGGGGAGUGAAAAAGAACCUGAAACCGUGUACGUACAAGCAGUGGGAGCACCUUCGGGUGUGACUGCGUACCUUUUGUAUAAUGGGUCAGCGACUUAUAUUCUGUAGCAAGGUUAACCGUAUAGGGGAGCCGCAGGGAAACCGAGUCUUAACUGGGCGUUAAGUUGCAGGGUAUAGACCCGAAACCCGGUGAUCUAGCCAUGGGCAGGUUGAAGGUUGGGUAACACUAACUGGAGGACCGAACCGACUAAUGUUGAAAAAUUAGCGGAUGACUUGUGGCUGGGGGUGAAAGGCCAAUCAAACCGGGAGAUAGCUGGUUCUCCCCGAAAGCUAUUUAGGUAGCGCCUCGUGAACUCAUCUUCGGGGGUAGAGCACUGUUUCGGCUAGGGGGUCAUCCCGACUUACCAACCCGAUGCAAACUACGAAUACCGAAGAAUGUUAUCACGGGAGACACACGGCGGGUGCUAACGUCCGUCGUGAAGAGGGAAACAACCCAGACCGCCAGCUAAGGUCCCAAAGUCAUGGUUAAGUGGGAAACGAUGUGGGAAGGCACAGACAGCCAGGAUGUUGGCUUAGAAGCAGCCAUCAUUUAAAGAAAGCGUAAUAGCUCACUGGUCGAGUCGGCCUGCGCGGAAGAUGUAACGGGGCUAAACCAUGCACCGAAGCUGCGGCAGCGACACUAUGUGUUGUUGGGUAGGGGAGCGUUCUGUAAGCCUGCGAAGGUGACCUGUGAGGGUUGCUGGAGGUAUCAGAAGUGCGAAUGCUGACAUAAGUAACGAUAAAGCGGGUGAAAAGCCCGCUCGCCGGAAGACCAAGGGUUCCUGUCCAACGUUAAUCGGGGCAGGGUGAGUCGACCCCUAAGGCGAGGCCGAAAGGCGUAGUCGAUGGGAAACAGGUUAAUAUUCCUGUACUUGGUGUUACUGCGAAGGGGGGACGGAGAAGGCUAUGUUAGCCGGGCGACGGUUGUCCCGGUUUAAGCAUGUAGGCUGGUUGUCCAGGCAAAUCCGGAUAAUCAAGGCUGAGGUGUGAUGACGAGGCACUACGGUGCUGAAGUAACAAAUGCCCUGCUUCCAGGAAAAGCCUCUAAGCAUCAGGUAACAUCAAAUCGUACCCCAAACCGACACAGGUGGUCAGGUAGAGAAUACCAAGGCGCUUGAGAGAACUCGGGUGAAGGAACUAGGCAAAAUGGUGCCGUAACUUCGGGAGAAGGCACGCUGGUGUGUAGGUGAAGCCCCUGCGGGUGGAGCUGAGACCAGUCGAAGAUACCAGCUGGCUGCAACUGUUUAUUAAAAACACAGCACUGUGCAAACACGAAAGUGGACGUAUACGGUGUGACGCCUGCCCGGUGCCGGAAGGUUAAUUGAUGGGGUUAUCCGUAAGGAGAAGCUCUUGAUCGAAGCCCCGGUAAACGGCGGCCGUAACUAUAACGGUCCUAAGGUAGCGAAAUUCCUUGUCGGGUAAGUUCCGACCUGCACGAAUGGCGUAAUGAUGGCCAGGCUGUCUCCACCCGAGACUCAGUGAAAUUGAACUCGCUGUGAAGAUGCAGUGUACCCGCGGCAAGACGGAAAGACCCCGUGAACCUUUACUAUAGCUUGACACUGAACAUUGAGCCUUGAUGUGUAGGAUAGGUGGGAGGCUUUGAAGCGUGGACGCCAGUCUGCGUGGAGCCAACCUUGAAAUACCACCCUUUAAUGUUUGAUGUUCUAACGUUGGCCCCUGACCGGGGUUGCGGACAGUGUCUGGUGGGUAGUUUGACUGGGGCGGUCUCCUCCCAAAGCGUAACGGAGGAGCACGAAGGUUAGCUAAUCCUGGUCGGACAUCAGGAGGUUAGUGCAAUGGCAUAAGCUAGCUUGACUGCGAGCGUGACGGCGCGAGCAGGUGCGAAAGCAGGUCAUAGUGAUCCGGUGGUUCUGAAUGGAAGGGCCAUCGCUCAACGGAUAAAAGGUACUCCGGGGAUAACAGGCUGAUACCGCCCAAGAGUUCAUAUCGACGGCGGUGUUUGGCACCUCGAUGUCGGCUCAUCACAUCCUGGGGCUGAAGUAGGUCCCAAGGGUAUGGCUGUUCGCCAUUUAAAGUGGUACGCGAGCUGGGUUUAGAACGUCGUGAGACAGUUCGGUCCCUAUCUGCCGUGGGCGCUGGAGAAUUGAGGGGGGCUGCUCCUAGUACGAGAGGACCGGAGUGGACGCAUCACUGGUGUUCGGGUUGUCAUGCCAAUGGCACUGCCCGGUAGCUAAAUGCGGAAGAGAUAAGUGCUGAAAGCAUCUAAGCACGAAACUUGCCCCGAGAUGAGUUCUCCCUGAGACUUUAAGUCUCCUGAAGGAACGUUGAAGACGACGACGUUGAUAGGCCGGGUGUGUAAGCGCAGCGAUGCGUUGAGCUAACCGGUACUAAUGAACCGUGAGGCUUAACCUU
This 2902-nucleotide ribosomal RNA is filed under the name Klebsiella pneumoniae. RNAcentral describes it as "23S ribosomal RNA". It matches the Rfam family "Bacterial large subunit ribosomal RNA". Lineage: Bacteria; Pseudomonadati; Pseudomonadota; Gammaproteobacteria; Enterobacterales; Enterobacteriaceae. The record is from RNAcentral.